Molecule: non-coding RNA, 78 nt
Organism: Clostridium sp. CAG:58
Lineage: Bacteria; Bacillati; Bacillota; Clostridia; Eubacteriales; Clostridiaceae
Source: Rfam
GGAACAUAGAGAGGAUGCCGCAUCCACAUUCUCUUAUGUUAUAUAUGAUACAAUUCACAAGGAGGAACUAAAAACAUG